GCGCCCGUAGCUCAUCUGGACAGAGUAUCAGCUUCCGAAGCUGAGGGUAGCAGGUUCGAGUCCUGCCGGGCGUA
RNAcentral lists this transfer RNA (74 nucleotides) under Gammaproteobacteria bacterium. Its description in RNAcentral is "tRNA-Arg". It matches the Rfam family "tRNA". From Rfam's summary of the family: Transfer RNA (tRNA) molecules are approximately 80 nucleotides in length. Their secondary structure includes four short double-helical elements and three loops (D, anti-codon, and T loops). Further hydrogen bonds mediate the characteristic L-shaped molecular structure. tRNAs have two regions of fundamental functional importance: the anti-codon, which is responsible for specific mRNA codon recognition, and the 3' end, to which the tRNAs corresponding amino acid is attached (by aminoacyl-tRNA synthetases). tRNAs cope with the degeneracy of the genetic code in two manners: having more than one tRNA (with a specific anti-codon) for a particular amino acid; and 'wobble' base-pairing, i.e. permitting non-standard base-pairing at the 3rd anti-codon position. The record is from RNAcentral. Lineage: Bacteria; Pseudomonadati; Pseudomonadota; Gammaproteobacteria. RNAcentral also lists the same sequence under 2 other names.